GGCAAUUCAAUCGAUGAUUUUUAAUUGACAGUCUGCUUAUCUGGCUAUUUCGAUGGUAUCUAAGACAAGCCGAGGAGAUCCUCCCACCAAUCUCACUUGUCUGACCAAUUCAGUAGAUCAUAUUUUUAUUAGAUCACUAAUUGAUUCGAGCUGACCCAUGCCAUUGAGGUAAAUCAAUGUGACUGAUUUAGGUAUCUCUAGACCAGCUUGCAUCAAGUCUUCUUCAUGACUUGAUGGUCAGUAGGGGGACUUAUGACUCAC
Molecule: long non-coding RNA, 261 nt
Filed under: Elaeis guineensis (African oil palm)
Lineage: Eukaryota; Viridiplantae; Streptophyta; Magnoliopsida; Arecales; Arecaceae
Description: long non-coding RNA (EGUI_LNC029529)
Source: RNAcentral